CAGGACGAACGCUGGCGGCGUGCCUAACACAUGCAAGUCGAACGGAGUUAAACGCUGAAAUUGAGAUUAGCUUGCUAAAGGAUUUUUCUUGUUUAACUUAGUGGCGGACGGGUGAGUAACGCGUGAGUAACCUGCCUUUCAGUGGGGACAACAGUUGGAAACGACUGCUAAUACCGCAUAAUGUUAUUAGGGGGCAUCCCCUGAUAACCAAAGAUUUAUUGCUGAAAGAUGGUCUCGCGUCUGAUUAGCUAGUUGGUGAGGUAACGGCUCACCAAGGCGACGAUCAGUAGCCGGUCUGAGAGGAUGAACGGCCACAUUGGGACUGAGAUACGGCCCAGACUCCUACGGGAGGCAGCAGUGGGGAAUAUUGGGCAAUGGGGGAAACCCUGACCCAGCAACGCCGCGUGAAGGAAGAAGGCCUUCGGGUUGUAAACUUCUUUUAUUGGGGACGAUAGUGACGGUACCUUAAUGAAUAAGCCACGGCUAACUACGUG
RNAcentral lists this ribosomal RNA (494 nucleotides) under uncultured bacterium. RNAcentral's name for it is "bacterial SSU rRNA". It matches the Rfam family "Bacterial small subunit ribosomal RNA", at positions 25 to 507 of the family's 1533-position model. The record is from RNAcentral.